CGAUGGGCCGACGUCGCAUGCUCCGGCCGCCAUGGUAGAGUUUGAUCAUGGCUCAGAUUGAACGCUGGCGGCAGGCCUAACACAUGCAAGUCGAGCGGAUGACAGGAGCUUGCUCCUGAAUUCAGCGGCGGACGGGUGAGUAAUGCCUAGGAAUCUGCCUGGUAGUGGGGGACAACGUUUCGAAAGGAACGCUAAUACCGCAUACGUCCUACGGGAGAAAGCAGGGGACCUUCGGGCCUUGCGCUAUCAGAUGAGCCUAGGUCGGAUUAGCUAGUUGGUGAGGUAAUGGCUCACCAAGGCGACGAUCCGUAACUGGUCUGAGAGGAUGAUCAGUCACACUGAAACUGAGACACGGUCCAGACUCCUACGGGAGGCAGCAGUGGGGAAUAUUGGACAAUGGGCGAAAGCCUGAUCCAGCCAUGCCGCGUGUGUGAAGAAGGUCUUCGGAUUGUAAAGCACUUUAAGUUGGGAGGAAGGGCAUUAACCUAAUACGUUAGUGUUUUGACGUUACCGACAGAAUAAGCACCGGCUAACUCUGUGCCAGCAGCCGCGGUAAUACAGAGGGUGCAAGCGUUAAUCGGAAUUACUGGGCGUAAAGCGCGCGUAGGUGGUUUGUUAAGUUGGAUGUGAAAUCCCCGGGCUCAACCUGGGAACUGCAUUCAAAACUGACAAGCUAGAGUAUGGUAGAGGGGGGUGGAAUUCCUGUGGUACGGGGGAAAUGCGUAGAUAUAGGAAGGAACACCGGUGGCGAAGGCACCCACCUGGACUGAUACUGACCUGGGGUGC
RNAcentral lists this ribosomal RNA (786 nucleotides) under uncultured Pseudomonas sp. Its description in RNAcentral is "partial 16S ribosomal RNA". It matches the Rfam family "Bacterial small subunit ribosomal RNA", at positions 1 to 754 of the family's 1533-position model. The record is from RNAcentral. Lineage: Bacteria; Pseudomonadati; Pseudomonadota; Gammaproteobacteria; Pseudomonadales; Pseudomonadaceae.